This 256-nucleotide ribosomal RNA is filed under the name uncultured bacterium. RNAcentral describes it as "partial 16S ribosomal RNA". It matches the Rfam family "Bacterial small subunit ribosomal RNA", at positions 521 to 776 of the family's 1533-position model. The record is from RNAcentral.
UAAUACGUAGGUGACAAGCGUUAUCCGGAAUUACUGGGCGUAAAGCGCACGCAGGCGGCUGCUUAAGUCUGACGUGAAAUCUCCUGGCUUAACUGGGAGGGGUCGUUGGAAACUGGGUGGCUUGAGGUGGUGAGAGGGGUGCAGAAUUCCCGGUGUAGUGGUGGAAUGCGUAGAUAUCGGGAGGAAUACCAGUGGCGAAAGCGGCACCCUGGCACUGACCUGACGCUCAUGUGCGAAAGCGUGGGGAGCAAACGGG